RNAcentral lists this ribosomal RNA (694 nucleotides) under uncultured bacterium. Its description in RNAcentral is "bacterial SSU rRNA". It matches the Rfam family "Bacterial small subunit ribosomal RNA", at positions 58 to 757 of the family's 1533-position model. The record is from RNAcentral.
CGAAGCUUGACGGAUGAUUUCUUCGGAAUGAAACCAGAUAUGACUUAGUGGCGGACGGGUGAGUAACACGUGAGCAACCUGCCUUUCAGAGGGGGAUAACGGCUGGAAACGGUCGCUAAUACCGCAUGACGUGUUCGGAUGGCAUCAUCUGAACAUCAAAGAUUUAUCGCUGAAAGAUGGGCUCGCGUCUGAUUAGAUAGUUGGUGGGGUAACGGCCUACCAAGUCUACGAUCAGUAGCCGGACUGAGAGGUUGAACGGCCACAUUGGGACUGAGAUACGGCCCAGACUCCUACGGGAGGCAGCAGUGGGGAAUAUUGCACAAUGGGGGAAACCCUGAUGCAGCAACGCCGCGUGAAGGAUGACGGUUUUCGGAUUGUAAACUUCUUUUCUUAGUGACGAAGACAGUGACGGUAGCUAAGGAAUAAGCAUCGGCUAACUACGUGCCAGCAGCCGCGGUAAUACGUAGGAUGCAAGCGUUAUCCGGAUUUACUGGGUGUAAAGGGAGCGCAGGCGGGACUGCAAGUUGGAUGUGAAAUACCGUGGCUUAACCACGGAACUGCAUCCAAAACUGUAGUUCUUGAGUGAAGUAGAGGCAAGCGGAAUUCCGAGUGUAGCGGUGAAAUGCGUAGAUAUUCGGAGGAACACCAGCGGCGAAGGCGGCUUGCUGGGCUUUAACUGACGCUGAGGCUCGAA